RNAcentral lists this ribosomal RNA (460 nucleotides) under uncultured bacterium. RNAcentral's name for it is "partial 16S ribosomal RNA". It matches the Rfam family "Bacterial small subunit ribosomal RNA", at positions 338 to 795 of the family's 1533-position model. The record is from RNAcentral.
CCUACGGGAGGCAGCAGUGAGGAAUAUUGGUCAAUGGACGGAAGUCUGAACCAGCCAUGCCGCGUGCAGGAUGACGGCUCUAUGAGUUGUAAACUGCUUUUGUACGAGAAUAAUAGUUCUUACGUGUAGGGAUUUGAAUGUAUCUUACGAAUAAGGAUCGGCUAACUCCGUGCCAGCAGCCGCGGUAAUACGGAGGAUUCGAGCGUUAUCCGGAUUUAUUGGGUUUAAAGGGUGCGUAGGCUGUCGGAUAAGUUAGUGGUCAAAUGUCGGGGCUGAACCCCGUGCCUGGCUCUGAUACUGUUCGACUAGAGAGCGGAUGAAGCAGGCGGAAUGAGUAGUGUAGCGGUGAAAUGCUUAGAUAUUACGCAGAACACCGAUUGCGAAGACAGCUUGCUAAUCCGCAACUGACACUGAUGCACGAAAGCGUGGGUAGCAAACAGGAUUAGAUACCCGGGGAGUC